GCCAUGUACAUGAUAAACCAAGGAUUCUUCGUCAACAUGCAAGAUGUUACUCCCUGUAAACUACUGUUGGCAGAAUAGCUGAUACAUUGGGAAAACGGUUAUGGCAAGUGUGAUGAAUAAAUCACCAUAGGUCAGUUGUCUUGCCUUCACAAUUGCAACGAAGAUGAAUCAUGGAGUCAAAAACAUUAAAAGAACAUGCUGGAAUUCAUGUCAUCCUGGAGAGGACUUAAAAAAAAACGAGCUUUAUCCACGAAGCAGCUCAUUAAUCAUGUCCCAAACGAUUGUCUGCGUCAGCCAGCAAUCUUUCAAUGGCUAACAAGCAUUUAAUAGUUUUGAAAAUCGCGGUUUGCACUCCCUAAGGCGACAUUCCUUAAUCCCACCUGUCAAAAGAUUUGAAUGCAACCAUUUUCUAUUCUGAACUGUCGCCUUCGAAAUUCUUUUUCCAUAAAAUGAGGUGAUAUGAGGUUAUAAUGGAAAUUGUC
Daphnia carinata is the source of this 482-nucleotide long non-coding RNA. RefSeq lists it as uncharacterized. Lineage: Eukaryota; Metazoa; Arthropoda; Branchiopoda; Diplostraca; Daphniidae. The transcript is spliced from 3 exons. The record is from RefSeq and is a predicted model, not a curated record.